UGGUAGUGGUGUGGACAACAUCUCAAUAAGUCCUUGUACCUCUCCCAGGCAUCAUACAUGCUCUUAUCGUCCAUAUGCACAAAAGAAGAAAUAUAAUUUCUUUAUUU
This 107-nucleotide small nucleolar RNA is filed under the name Ricinus communis (castor bean). RNAcentral describes it as "Plant small nucleolar RNA R71". It matches the Rfam family "Plant small nucleolar RNA R71". Rfam says of the family: R71 is a member of the C/D box family of snoRNAs containing the C (UGAUGA) and D (CUGA) box motifs. Multiple nearly identical copies of this snoRNA have been identified in Arabidopsis, and it is thought to function as a 2'-O-ribose methylation guide for 18S ribosomal RNA. The record is from Rfam by way of RNAcentral. Lineage: Eukaryota; Viridiplantae; Streptophyta; Magnoliopsida; Malpighiales; Euphorbiaceae.